CCAAUAGCGUAUAUUAAAGUUGUUGCAGUUAAAAAGCUCGUAGUUGAAUUUCGAGAUCGGUUUAUUGGUCGUGCUAUUGUACGUACUGGUAUCACCGGUUUCUCCUUUCUGACGAACCUUAAUGCCAUUAAUUUGGUGUUUUGGGAAAUCAGGACUGUUACUUUGAAAAAAUUAGAGUGUUUAAAGCAGGCUCACGCUUGAAUACAUUAGCAUGGAAUAACGGAAUAGGACGUUUGAUUCUAUUUUGUUGGUUUCUAGGAUCGACGUAAUGAUUAAUAGGGAUAGUUGGGGGCAUUAGUAUUCAAUUGUCAGAGGUGAAAUUCUUGGAUUUAUUGAAGACUAACUACUGCGAAAGCAUUUGCCAAGGAUGUUUUCAUUAAUCAAGAACGAAAGUUAGGGGAUCGAAGACGAUCAGAUACCGUCGUAGUCUUAACCAUAAACUAUGCCGACUAGGGAUCGGAUGAUGUUAAUUUUUUAAUGACUCAUUCGGCGCCUUACG
Molecule: ribosomal RNA, 499 nt
Filed under: uncultured Glomeromycotina
Lineage: Eukaryota; Fungi; Glomeromycota
Description: partial small subunit ribosomal RNA
Rfam family: Eukaryotic small subunit ribosomal RNA
Source: RNAcentral